UGAUUUACAAAAUAAUUUCCAAAUUUCAAAACAUUGAUCCAUUCUCUCCCCAACAAGGCCUUCCUUUCUCCUCUCGCCACGACAGCUCAAAGCUUAGCGAUCGUUCCCCGAAAAUCGACCUUGACAUCUAUUUCACCCAGAAUCGGUACCACAGUUCUGUCAUAGGUCUUAACAAUUAUUCCCGCUUCUCUUACCUGCACGUCUGGGAGGUAUCUUUUGAAAUCCUUCUCCGAUAUUAAAGUCAGACAGCUACCCGUAUAGAUUUCAAAAGUCAUCAAAGUGUCCUCUACUCUCACCUUAAUCACAUAGGGAGGGUCAUUCGUAGCAUACUUGACUCUAUAAUCAUACGUCCUCAUGAAGACCAUUCUUUGAACGGAUUCUUCCUCCUCCUCCUCUUGAUUCUUGAUCUGAUUAAUCUUUCUCUGGUUCAGAAACCGGCUCACCUGUCUUUCGCUUGUAUGUUCCUCACGGCUCCUGCAGAUGGUUGCCAAGUGACCUCUUUUCCCGCAUCUGAAACAGGUCGCCUCUCUAAAUCUGCAUAAGUCUUUAUGCAACCUCCCGCAAUGUAUGCACUUUCUCUUUUGCUCUCUAUCAUAUCUAUUCCUGACUUCUGCGCGUAUUUUGUCCACGCUAUCUGCAGGCUCAUUGACAUGGAAUAUUCUGGUAUUUUUUUCUGCUGCCUCCAUCGACAACGCAAUUUCAACUACUCUUGCCAACGGCACAUCUCCUUCAGACAAGAUCCAUCUCUGAAUUUUUGCAUUUCUCAAACCGCACACCAAUUUGUCUCUUAAGGAUUCCUUCAAAAAUUCGCCAAAUCCACAAGUUGAGGCUAGCCGCUUGAUUUCCACCAGAUAUUCUGAAACACUUUCCGUUUCCUUUUGUAUUCUUCCAAAAAACAUAAAUCUCUCUACGAUUAUAGAUCGCCUUGGGGAAAAAUAUUCAACAAGUUUCUCAAUCAAUUCUUCAUAUUUAUACUCUUUAGGUAACUUCGGGCUACAUAAAUUUUUCAAUGUAUCAUACGCCUUCCCGCCAAUUAGAGUCAACAAAUAGGCUCUUUUCUUUUCUUCAUUUGCCUCUUCUAGAAUUAGAAACUGCUCCAAACGCUCGAUAAAUGAGCAAAAAUUUUCAUUUUUUUCUUCAAAUUCCUUAAAAUGGUAAUGAGCCAUCAUGAAACAAUUUUUCUUAUGUAAAUUUCCAAUAACUUAUUUCUUCUUUAAUUUUAAACAAAAUUAUUCAUAUUACCUUAUACUAUCGCUUGGGUACUUACUCUUAAAUUCUCGUCGCCAAUGCAAUGUUUUCUAGCCAGAAGACUUUGAAAAUAGUAUAUAUUUUUAAUGCUAACAACAAACAAAGUUAACACAAUUCCAUAUUAAAAAAACAACUAACUGCUAUAUACACAAACACUAUAUAUAUCCAUAUACACACAAUUAUCAUCAUCAACUCUGUGCAAAACAAAUAUUAAACUAAUUUGCUAAUAUAUCACAGUCCCAAUCCAAUCAACCCGAAACGAUAAUAUUACAUAUAUGUGUGUUAUUUAUAUCUAGUCACAUUCCAUUUUACUAUUUAGAACCAUAAGUAAAGUUUUAUGGCUGAUUUUCUAUCAUAUCUAUUGUACAUGAUGUGAAUUUAUAUCUAUUGCUUAAUUGCAUGAUUGUAUUUAAAGUGUAUCUAUAUAAUUGCUGGAUUAUAACAGAUAGUUUUGAGACAGAAAUCUGAAUUUUUUGGAUAUCUUUUUCUUUUUAUGACAUUAAAAAUCGCUUAAAAGAAUCAAGUAUCAACUUCAAGUAAUUUCUGAGCUGAAAUCCUGCAUCACCUACAGACAGAUAAUUUCCUUCUAGCUUAUCAUCUUAGAGUCUUUGUCUGUUAAUUCACUAUCGCAGCUUCAUUGCUAUCACACCUUCAUAUAUUCCAUCUCCUCUUGCUAUUAAUCUCAUCCAAUUAAAAACAGGAAUAUUCAAAAAUAAUUUAAAAUAGCUAACAAAACUGUUCAAUACAGAGAUUUGAGCAUGAACCUAUUAAUCCUUCAUAUUUGUUUUCAACACCUUGCAUAUAUAGUUCAGGCAUUCUUUCAAAAAAUCUGUCUUUAAACCUAACCAAUAUUCUUUAAUAAACUUUGUCUCCAUUUAGGGGAUGUUUUAAUUUUUAAGGAAAGGACAUAAAAAUCGAAAUCUAUAUUGGUUUUAUAUAUAUGUGUUGUAUCUUUUAUACGGGUUCAUUUACCUUUAGCUUUAUAUAUAUUUAAUAUAGUUACAGCCUUUAUGUAUAUAGACAAUUAAUAUACCGCCGUGCUAGAACAAUUAUAUAUUUAUUAUGCGGCGUUGUUUACAUACUGUGUUGCCAGAUCUUUUGUAGCACAGAUUAUAACUUUGACCACUGGACUCCGAUGAUGUCGAGGGGGCUGGAUCCAAUUGGGGCGAUGACUGGCUGCUCCUUCUCUGUCCAACAGGAUAACUUCUGGGCCGUAGGUGAACUCUGUUCCGUUUUAACAUUCGGCCCUCGUUGUUCUGAAUGAUGUAUGAUCGAGGCUGGUUGGCUUCUCCAAUGAUGGUAGCUGGUCUCCAGGCAUUGCUAGUUUUGGCAUUUACCUGUUCACCAGAACUCAUUUUAGGAAGUAUUUUGGCAUUUCGGUCAUAAUAUUCUUUCAUCUUAUAUUGAUUUUCCCUCUUCUGCUGUAGAAUGUUUUCCGUGCUAAUGAAAGCAGGUUUUAGCUUUGUGGUUUUCAUUGGGAUCAAGGUUCUCAAGUUUCUUCCCAUUAGCAUCUGAGCUGGGGACGGUAGAUUAUUUGACGGAGUUGUUCUCAGGGCUAUUAAACACAUAUAAGGAUCAGUGUUGUCUUGACGGCAUUUCUUAAGUUGCUUCUUUACUGUUUGCACCAUCCUCUCCACUAAUCCGUUUGAUUUUGGGUAUCCUGGGCUAGAGGUUUUAUGUUCUAUGUCCCAUUCAUUUGUAAAAUUAGUAAAGUCUUGUGAUGUAAAUGGUGGUCCAUUAUCAGUGAUGAUGAUCUCUGGAAUCCCAUGUCUUGCGAAGGUAGAUUUCAAAACUGGUAGAAUCUCUUUUGCUGAAGUUGAUGCUACCUUGAUGACUUCAGGAAAGCUGCUGUAGUAGUCUACUAUUAUUAUGAAUACAGAUUGGUCUAGAUAGAAGAAAUCAAUAGCUACUUUUUGCCAAGGGUAGUCUGCUAUUUCGUGAGGUAUAAGUGGUUCUUUCCUUUGCGAAGGUUGUGAUUCUUGACAAAUUCUACACUUAUAAACCAUCUCUUCUAUUUCUCUAUCCAGUCCAGGCCAAUAAAUAGCUUCAUGUGCUCUGUUUUUACAAGCAGAGAUCCCUUGAUGAGACAUGUGUAGUGUUUGCAAGAUGCUUUCCCUUUGGACUUUAGGGAUGACAAGUCUUUGUCCUCUACAAAUCAGGUCUUUCCAUAUAUAUAGUUCUUCUUUACAAUGCCAGUAGGGCUUAACAGCAUAGUCCACACUUUUCUUAUGAAUAGGCCACCCAUUCAGUAUAUGAUCCCUUAAUUUUAUCAUUUCUUCAUCUGACUCCAUAUCUCUGAGAAUUUCCUGGUAUCUUUUAGUGGUCACCUUCAGAUUUAGAGUCAUAAUGGUGUUCUGGAGAUCCAGAUCUGAGGUGUCGAUGGUUUCCUCUGAAAUUGAAUCUCUAGAUAGAGUGUCUGCGGUGUGAAUCACUUUUCCUGGUACAUAUUCUAAAUUAAAAUCAUAUCGCAUCAAUUUCAAGACCAGUCUUUCAAGUCUUGGAGAUAAUUCCUCUAGUGGCUUUUUUAGUAUAGCCAACAAGGGUUUAUGAUCCGUCUGGGCUGUGAACUUUCUUCCAUACAAAUGAUAGUUAAAUCUUUGGCAUCCAUACCAGAGAGCUAAGAGCUCCUUUUCAAUCUGGGCAUAUUUUUUCUGAGUGUUAUUCAAGGAUGCGGAUGCAAAAGCGAUGGGUCUUCCCUCUUGCAUCAAGACAGCCCCAAGCCCAUGUUGACUAGCGUCCACUGAAAGUGUUACCUUCCGAUGGGGGUCAAAGAGGCCAAGAACUGGAGGAUUUGAUACCAAAUUUUUCAGCUCAAUGAAUUCUUUUUCUAUAGCCUCAUUCCAUGUCCACAGGGUAUUCUUUUUUAGGAGUUGUCUUAACAAGACAGUUUUAUCUGCCAGAUUAUGCAUGAAUUUAGCUAGAUAGUUCACAGUUCCCAAAAAUCUUUGAAGAGAUGUCUUGUCCAUUGGUCUUUUUAUUUUUUGUAUUGCUUCUAAUUUAGAUGGAUCUGCAGAGAUGCCAUUCUUGGAUAUCUCAUGUCCAAUGAACUUAACUUUUUCUUGGGCCAGUUGCAUUUUAUUGAAUUCAAACUUUAAAUUAUUUUUUCUAGCAAUUUCCAAAACCGUAAUCAGUCUACUAUUGUGCUCCGUGAGGGAGUUUCCGUAUAUUAUUAUAUCAUCCAUGUAUACUUUUACUCCUUCAAUUCCUGUAAACAUACUUUGCAUUUUUUUAUAGAAAACUUCUGGAGCGCUGCAAAUACCAAAAGGUAACCGAUGGAAUCUGUAAUACCCAUAAGGUGUAGCCAUUGUUAAAAGGCUAGAUGACUUUUCGUCUAACUUGAUUUGCCAAAAGGCUGACUUAGCAUCAAGUACUGUAUAGAUGGGUGAUUUUGUGAUAUCAGCAAUGAUGCCUUCAGGGGCAGGAAGUUGACGAUAUUCCAUUUUAAUCCAUGGAUUUAGCUCUCUAGGGUCCAUACAGAUACGAACCUUUCCAUUUGGUUUCUUAAUGAUUACCAUCGGGUGUGCCCACUCUGCUGGUUGGUCUACCUUUGAGAUGAUCUUUUGUUCCUCCAUCGAUUUUAGCUCCAUCUCAACUGGUUUUUUUCAGUGCAAACGGAAUUCGGCGAGCUAACUGAAUUCUUGGAUGUGCAUUUUCUCUCAGGAUCACAGAAUGCUCUCCAGGGAGUGUUCCGAUCUCAUCAAAGACAUCUCUGUAGGACUCUAUUAUCUUUGUAGGUGAAGCAUCCAUCUUUGUCCUAGUAUGGUCCUGUUCCAACGACUCUACUUUUAAUAUCAGCUCUAAUUUUUUACACGCUGCCAAUCCCAAAAUUGGUGGAGCUGGCAAAUCCACGACUAGAAAUUCAAGGAUUUCAGAUUUUUUUCCCAGAGGUACAUGAAGCCUUGCAUUUGCCCCUUAUUGGUACUUUUUCUCCUGUAUAUGAAUAAACCGCAAUCCCAGUUGGAUAUAUGCAGGGUUUAUUUUGCCAAUUUUUAAUGGUAUCCAAUGGCAGGAUGUUCACCUGUGCUCCUGUGUCUAAUUUAAAAUUAACUGAAUUAUUCUCCACCAAGAUUAUUUUAGUCCACUCUAGACCAGUAAUGCUAUCUAGGGAUAGGUAUUGAAGACACAUUUCUUCUUCCUCUUCCGCUCUUUCCUCCAACAUAUGCACUCUGUUCCUACACAUUUUAGCAAAAUGGUUUGGUUUUUUACAUGAAUUGCAUAUUUUACCAUAUGCAAAACAUUUACCAUAUGGAUGUCUGGAACCACAAUUUUGGCAAACCUUUGCAUUAGGAUGUUCCUCAGAUACAUUAGGUUUUCUACCAACUGGAUAUUUGAAAUUCUUUUUAUAUUGCUUUUUAUAUUUUAUAGAAUGUAAAUCAACAUCUUCUCUAGUUAUAUUUUUUACUUGUUGUCUAGAAGUUUCAGUAGCUCUUCCCAAGUCUAUGGCUUUAGCUAAAGAAAGAUCAGGAUCUUGUAGCAUCCUUUCUUUUAAAGCUUUGUCUUUAAUUCCAAUUAUAAUUCUAUCUCUGACCAAGGAAUCUGCAAGCUCUCCAAAUUCGCAGUCCAUGCUUUUAUUUUUCAAUUCAGUUACAUAGUCAUCAAAAUUCUGAUUCUCCCCUUGUUCCGUUGUAAAAAACUGGUACCUCUUAUAGGUUGUGUUUUUAUAUGGUUUAAAGUGUCCAUCAAACAGUUCAAGUAUAUCCGGAACAGUCGGAGAGGCAUCAGUUUCUUGUAUUUUAAAUGUAGAGUAUAUAUCUAGGGCUAACUCACCAAUAUUAUAGAGUAGAAUAGCCCUUUGUCUUGGAAUAGAUUUUUUAUCUAUUUCUGUGGCUAUGUAAAACAUUUGGAAUCUCUUUUUCCAUUUACCCCAUGCUUCUGAUGGGUUUGUUCCAGGCACAAAUGGCUGCAAACUAUUCCCGGUACUCGAGGCCAUUUUUCAACGUGUUAGGCUUAAUUGAUAUUUGAAAUUUUACUUAUCUUUCAAAAUCCCACCGCUGCCACCAUGUUGUAUCUUUUAUACGGGUUCAUUUACCUUUAGCUUUAUAUAUAUUUAAUAUAGUUACAGCCUUUAUGUAUAUAGACAAUUAAUAUACCGCCGUGCUAGAACAAUUAUAUAUUUAUUAUGCGGCGUUGUUUACAUACUGUGUUGCCAGAUCUUUUGUAGCACAGAUUAUAACUAUAUACAACAAUAUGAAAUCUUGUGUAUAAGAGAACUGAUUUGAAUUUAGAAUACAGGAUUAUAAUGAAUAAGUGUGGUUAUGUUUUAUAUUUUUAAACUUUCAUUCAAUUGUUUCAUAUUUUAAUAUGCUUAAAAAUCCAGCAUAAAUAUGAAUUUUUAUUUUUAUUUUUAAGCCAUACCUUCGAAGACCUCUGAACUCCUAGUUUCCAAAUGCUUUUUAUAUAUUUUUAUUAAUUUUUUAUUCAUGGUUUGAUUUUUUGCACAUUUUUUCCCCAUUAUUUAUUUUUUUCUUCUAAAAAAAUUAUAAUAUUCUUAUACUGAAAUAGUCUGGUACCAUAAAAUUGACAUGUUUUUCUUUAUUUUCUUUAUCGGUGAAAAAAUAUAAUUAGCUUAUCAUCGUUGAAAUAUUUGAAUGACAUCAUUAAUGGUUUACUUUUUAUUGUGUAAAUAUGGCAUUUAUUGACACUGUCUGUAAAGAUAGGUUAGUACAUUUUUACUUUUAAACCUUGUUUAUACACCAAGCUUGAACAAACUAGUACCAGUACCUCUUUAGCGGCACAAAAUACUUUUAUUUAUAGUUGGUUUACACUGAAUGCUUUGAUUAGUUUCUCUUUUUCCAAAUUUUCCCAAAAGUUGGGUCUAAACGAACAGACGUCCAUACAGGCGCCAUUGAUCGUUUAUUUACAUUUAUAAGAUCCUAAAUAAUAUUUUCAAUGACUAAUCACACUUACAGUACACAUUCCUAACGGCGGAGGCUCCGAUUGCACUCAAUAAACGCGAUAGAAAUAACAAAAAUAUAUAUUCACAACAUUCUUAGACUAAUUCAAAGCCAUUUAUUUAUAAAAUACACAAAAAUACACUUAGACCAAUUUAAUAGCAGCCGAUAACUCGUUCAGGUGACUUGUAUAAUACAAAUUAAUAAUAAACAGAAAAUCGCUCUUUUUAUAUACACUUCUGUAAGUGAGAUAAUACAUUUCUGUGGAAAUUUGAAAAAAUACUACUGUUUUAUUAUUCUGCACUAGGUAUACUGACAAAAAGAAUUCCAUUUUUGAAUCAACCAAAACUAAUUAAACCUAAAAGCUAGCAGAUCGAUAUACAGUGGUACCUCGACAUACGAGUUAAUUCGUUCCGCAACCUUGCUCGUAUCUUGAAUUACUCGUAUUUCGAAGCAAAUUUCCCCAUACAAAAAAAUUGAACUACCAUUAAUCCGUUCCAACCUCCAAAAUGUCACCCCAGUUAUUUUUGUUACGUGGUUUUAAAUAAUAAAAACGUAUUUAUAAAUAUCAAAUAUUUAUUGCACAAAAUCAAAAAAGAGAAUGUAAAGAAAUAAAUUAGAUAUCCUCACUGGCCUUUGCCUUUUUCGCUACAUUUUUCUCGCUUUCACCUGUAGGCCGUUUAGAAAAAAACAUGUCCAAGGAGGUUUGUGUCUUCCUCCCUCUCAGAAUGUUCUGGAAAUGAGUUAGGCAAGUGUCAUUAAAAAGGUCAGAUGCACGACCUGUUGCAACUUUUUCUGUUUUUUUUUUCCACGAACUGUGAAACUCUCUCCCACAUACCUAAGAUCUCCUUUAUCUAACUUGUAGAAAUAACCUCCUCCUCUGACUCCUCAAAACCAAUUACUUGCAUAACCUCAGUAUGCUGCUGUGACUGUAACUCUUGUAUCUCCUCAGUCGUCAGUUCCUGGGUGUGCGCGUGAUGGCGCGACUGCGUGUUACUACCAACCCAACUCGUAUCUCGAAUUUCGCUCGUAACUAAAAGCAAAAAUCACUUGCUCGUCGGCUCGUAUCUCGAAAAACUCGUAUGUUGGGGCGCUCGUAUGUCGAGGUACCACUGUAUUUGGUGGGGUACAUUGCUAUCUGUAGCUACAGAUAUAUGCAUACCACCUACUGUAUAUGCUUGUAAGAUUUUUUAAAAUAUAUUAUUCCAUGGUAUAGUUAUACAAAGUCAUGGAGACUGAAUUUAUGGUUUAAAUGCCUAUAAAAUAUAUUUUUAAAGCUCUUACAUGUUUUUUCCACAGUUAAAUGUAUAGGAAAUGAAAACAUUAAAGCGUGAUUGUUUCUUUUACACAUUAAAUAAACUUCUACUGUUGUAAUAAAGUAAAAUUUGGAUUAUAGAUUGGAACUACAAGGUAAUAAGACCAAAUCCAAAUAUAAUAUACAUACUCCAUGAGAGGACACUCAUGCUAGAGGACAUCUCUCUACAAAGGACAGUUUCCAUCACCAAUACAGUAGAACCUACUCCAUGAGAGGACACUCAUGCUAGAGGACAUCUCUCUACAAAAGACAGUUUCCAUCACCAAUACAGUAGAACAUACUCCAUGAGAGGACACUCCCGCUAGAGGACACCUCUCUACAAAGGACAGUUUCCAUCACCAAUACAGUAGAACAUACUCCAUGAGAGGACACUCGCGCUAGAAGACACCUCUCUACAAAGGACAGUUUCCAUCACCAAUACAGUAGAACAUACUCCAUGAGAGGACACUCACGCUAGAAGACAUCUCUCUACAAAGGACAGUUUCCAUCACCAAUACAGUAGAACAUAUUCCAUGAGAGGACACUCACGCUAGAGGACAUCUCUCUACAAAGGACAGUUUCCAUCACCAAUACAGUAGAACAUACUUCAUGAGAGGACACUCAUGCUAGAGGACAUCUCUCUACAAAGGACGUUUCCAUCACCAAUACAGUAGAACAUACUCCAUGAGAGGACACUCACGCUAGAGGACAUCUCUCUACAAAGGACAGUUUCCAUCACCAAUACAGUAGAAUAUACUCCAUGAGAGGACACUCCCGCUAGAGGACAUCUCUCUACAAAGGGCAGUUUUCAUCACCAAUACAGUAGAACAUACUCCAUGAGAGGACACUCAUGCUAGAGGACAUCUCUCUACAAAGGACAGUUUCCAUCACCAAUACAGUAGAACAUACUCCAUGAGAGGACACUCCCGCUAGAGGACAUCUCUCUACAAAGGGCAGUUUUCAUCACAAAUACAGUGGAACAUACUCCAUGAGAGGACACUCACGCUAGAAGACACCUCUCUACAAAGGACAGUUUCCAUCACCAAUACAGUAGAACAUACUCCAUGAGAGGACACUCAUGCUAGAGGACAUCUCUCUACAAAGGACGUUUCCAUCACCAAUACAGUAGAACAUACUCCAUGAGAGGACACUCAUGCUAGAGGACAUCUCUCUACAAAGGACAGUUUCCAUCACCAAUACAGUAGAAUAUACUCCAUGAGAGGACACUCCCGCUAGAGGACAUCUCUCUACAAAGGGCAGUUUUCAUC
This 9701-nucleotide non-coding RNA is filed under the name Cordylochernes scorpioides. Lineage: Eukaryota; Metazoa; Arthropoda; Arachnida; Pseudoscorpiones; Chernetidae. The record is from RNAcentral.